RNAcentral lists this ribosomal RNA (484 nucleotides) under uncultured bacterium. Its description in RNAcentral is "partial 16S ribosomal RNA". It matches the Rfam family "Bacterial small subunit ribosomal RNA", at positions 30 to 507 of the family's 1533-position model. The record is from RNAcentral.
AUUGAACGCUGGCGGCAGGCCUAACACAUGCAAGUCGAGCGGAUGAAGGGAGCUUGCUCCUGGAUUCAGCGGCGGACGGGUGAGUAAUGCCUAGGAAUCUGCCUGAUAGUGGGGGAUAACGUCCGGAAACGGGCGCUAAUACCGCAUACGUCCUGAGGGAGAAAGUGGUGGAUCUUCGGACCUCACGCUAUCAGAUGAGCCUAGGUCGGAUUAGCUAGUUGGUGGGGUAAAGGCCUACCAAGGCGACGAUCCGUAACUGGUCUGAGAGGAUGAUCAGUCACACUGGAACUGAGACACGGUCCAGACUCCUACGGGAGGCAGCAGUGGGGAAUAUUGGACAAUGGGCGAAAGCCUGAUCCAGCCAUGCCGCGUGUGUGAAGAAGGUCUUCGGAUUGUAAAGCACUUUAAGUUGGGAGGAAGGGCAGUAAGUUAAUACCUUGCUGUUUUGACGUUACCAACAGAAUAAGCACCGGCUAACUUCGUG